GAUGAAGAACGUAGCGAAAUGCGAUAAGUCGUGUGAAUUGCAGAAUUCAGUGAAUCAUCGAAUCUUUGAACGCACAUUGCGCCCCUUGGUAUCCCGAGGGGCAUGCCUGUUCGAGCGUCAUUUCACCACUCAAGCCUGGCUUGGUGUUGGGCGACGUCCUCUUUGGGGACGCGCCUCGAAACGCUCGGCGGCGUGGCACCGGCUUUAAGCGUAGCAGAAUCUUUCGCUUUGGAAGUCGGGGCCCCGUCUGCCGGAAGACCUGCUCGCAAGGUUGACCUCGGAUCAGGCAGGGAUACCCGCUGAACUUAAGCAUAUCAAUAAGCGGAGGA
Molecule: unclassified non-coding RNA, 329 nt
Filed under: soil metagenome
Description: partial contains 5.8S ribosomal RNA, internal transcribed spacer 2, and large subunit ribosomal RNA
Rfam family: 5.8S ribosomal RNA (bases 1-120)
Source: RNAcentral